GAGAUGGACUGUCCUGGGAGUUUACAGCAAAAUUACCCAGUAGAGUGAGGCAGAGAAGACAAGCAAAGAUUCUUGCCUCGAAUCUUUCUGUUUAAAAUAUGUAUCUACAUAAUAUGAGUGGUGCAUCAUCACUGGCAAUUUUGAAAUUCCCCAGUUAAUCUCUAGAAGCAGUUUUGUGAACUUACUUGCAGUAUCACGGCCCACCCAGUGGUUACCAAAAAUAGAAAUUGAAGUCAGGGAAUAUCUGAGGCUACCAGAUUGAUUCUAUUCAGGUCGCUAAAUGAUUCACAUAAAGUGUAACCCAACACACCCUCCGGGUCACAAGAUGCUUGAGGGUGAAGAGCCAGGACCCAGAGCCUUGGAGCCCAGGCCCACAGGAGACUGCAGCCACCCAGGGAGCCAGGGCUCGGGUGUCCCAGGAAUAGCCAGGGUCAAGCUCUGCCUCCCAUCCUCAGGCUCAGCCUUCACCUUGAUCGGAUUUCCUGGUCUCCUUCAUUCCCACAUCAUCCACUCUGCUGAAUUCCUUCCAUAGAUGAUCACUUCUCCCCAGGACACCGCCCCAGCAGCAAGUAACAGCCUGCCUGGCAGCGAGCCUUGCACGGGCCCAUCCCCACCCGCUCACAGGCACACACUGGCUUGUUCAGGAGGCUAUCAGACAAACAAAUUAAGACAGACAUGUGAAUACUGCCAUGCAAUACAGAGCAAUGGAUGGGAGGAAAGUCCAUAUUUUGUCGUCUUAUCUCCAGGAAGAAAUGAAGGCGGGAAGAGUAAGAAUGAUGCCCUGUUCCUUAACAAAACACUUUGUGCAUUCUUUAUUGUGUCAUAGCUGUGCAAGGAAACAAAGCUAUUGCAUUUUAUUUGGGCUGGAAAUGUAAAAUCUUUAAAAUAUAACUUUUAGAAGGAAGGCAGUUGCUCUUUUUCCUCGUGUCUUAUCAUGAGAGUCAUUUGAUCCAAGAUACUGCUCCUUAACUUACGCUUUUUAUUUGGAAGAAACACUAACGAUACUUCUUAGGGAUAUUGUACAGAGAAAGUAGGUUGCACAUUUAACCUUAGGAACAGAAACUGCUGUUGCUUAAGUACCGCUCACCCUUUCACCACCUGAGAUGAAGAAUGACUCAACCAUAUGAUGAAACAGAGAAAGCCAUGUUUCUAAUGAGGCCAGAGCCUGAAGGCAGAAACCCUUCAAGAGCUGAAUUUCCCAUUUUGUUGCCAACAACAAAUAAACUCAGUGUUCCUUCAAUGACGAUUAAUCCGGCAAAAACCAUGCAGAAAUGAAGGAGCUUUAAAAUGAUCAUCAUUCAUCAACCCAACCAUCUCCCUUGGAUACCCACUUCAUUACUAAGAGAGUAAUUAUUUUUGUGUUGUCAGUUUUAGGGAAAAGCCCUUGAGGAUUAUUCAUUGGUAAUUGGAAAAAUAAAUGUUAAUGUCUUCUGUGGAUUAGGAAAGAAUGUUUUAUGACUAACUGUUUAGACGCUUCUGUUGCAUUGCCUGAGUUUGGAAGCUUCAUUGGUUUUCCAGCCAAGGCUUCAUAAAAGCUUUCAAAUUACCUGUAGCUGUCAGAGAGGAGUCUCCUCAAGGAGAUGGAUGAAGCUUGCCCACGAUG
Molecule: long non-coding RNA, 1603 nt
Filed under: Homo sapiens (human)
Lineage: Eukaryota; Metazoa; Chordata; Mammalia; Primates; Hominidae
Description: HSALNT0115128
Source: RNAcentral